GUGAGGAAUAUUGGUCAAUGGGCGGGAGCCUGAACCAGCCAAGUCGCGUGAAGGAAGAAGGAUCUAUGGUUCGUAAACUUCUUUUGCAGGGGAAUAAAGUGCAGGACGUGUCCUGUUUUGUAUGUACCCUGAGAAUAAGGAUCGGCUAACUCCGUGCCAGCAGCCGCGGUAAUACGGAGGAUCCGAGCGUUAUCCGGAUUUAUUGGGUUUAAAGGGUGCGUAGGUGGUUUGAUAAGUCAGCGGUGAAAGUUUGCAGCUUAACUGUAAAAAUGCCGUUGAAACUGUCGGACUUGAGUGUAAAUGAGGUAGGCGGAAUGCGUGGUGUAGCGGUGAAAUGCAGAGAUAUCACGCAGAACUCCGAUUGCGAAGGCAGCUUACUAAGCUACAACUGACACUGAAGCACGAAAGCGUGGGGAUCAAACAGGAUUAGAAACCCGGGUAGUCC
RNAcentral lists this ribosomal RNA (445 nucleotides) under uncultured bacterium. RNAcentral describes it as "partial 16S ribosomal RNA". It matches the Rfam family "Bacterial small subunit ribosomal RNA", at positions 354 to 796 of the family's 1533-position model. The record is from RNAcentral.